This 325-nucleotide ribosomal RNA is filed under the name Chrysosoma bearni. Its description in RNAcentral is "partial 12S ribosomal RNA". The record is from RNAcentral. Lineage: Eukaryota; Metazoa; Arthropoda; Insecta; Diptera; Dolichopodidae.
UUUUUUUAGACUAGAGUAGUAAUAGUUAUGUUCUUGAAACUUAAAAAAUUUGGCGGUAUUUUAGUCUAUUUAGAGGAACCUGUACUGUAAUCGAUAGUCCACGUUGGACCUUACUUGAUUUUGAAAUUCAAUUUGUAUACCGUCGUUAUUUGAAGAUUUUUUUAGAAAAAUAAUUUUCAAGAUUUUACAUAAAAAAGUAAAUCAGAUCAAGGUGCAGUUUAUGGUCAAGUAGUUAUGGGUUACAAUAAUUAUAAUUAAACGGAAUAGAUUUUGAAAAUAAUUUAUGAAGGUGGAUUUAAUAGUAAAAUUUUAAAGAUAAAAAAUU